Molecule: ribosomal RNA, 672 nt
Filed under: uncultured Peptococcaceae bacterium
Lineage: Bacteria; Bacillati; Bacillota; Clostridia; Eubacteriales; Peptococcaceae
Description: bacterial SSU rRNA
Rfam family: Bacterial small subunit ribosomal RNA
Source: RNAcentral
GCUUGCUCUUUCCGGAAUUGAGUGGCAAACGGGUGAGUAACACGUAAACAACCUGCCUUCAGGAUGGGGACAACAGACGGAAACGACUGCUAAUACCGAAUAAGUUCCAAGAGCCGCAUGGCCCAUGGAAGAAAAGGUGGCCUCUACCUGUAAGCUAUCGCCUGAAGAGGGGUUUGCGUCUGAUUAGCUGGUUGGAGGGGUAACGGCCCACCAAGGCGACGAUCAGUAGCCGGUCUGAGAGGAUGAACGGCCACACUGGAACUGAGACACGGUCCAGACUCCUACGGGAGGCAGCAGUGGGGAAUCUUCCGCAAUGGGCGAAAGCCUGACGGAGCAACGCCGCGUGAGUGAUGACGGCCUUCGGGUUGUAAAACUCUGUGAUCCGGGACGAAAAGGCAGAGUGCGAAGAACAAACUGCAUUGACGGUACCGGAAAAGCAAGCCACGGCUAACUACGUGCCAGCAGCCGCGGUAAUACGUAGGUGGCAAGCGUUGUCCGGAAUUAUUGGGCGUAAAGCGCGCGCAGGCGGCUUCCCAAGUCCCUCUUAAAAGUGCGGGGCUUAACCCCGUGAUGGGAAGGAAACUGGGAAGCUGGAGUAUCGGAGAGGAAAGUGGAAUUCCUAGUGUAGCGGUGAAAUGCGUAGAGAUUAGGAAGAACACCGGUGGCGAAGGC